AAAGUUUUCGGGAAGACGGAGGAUGAGAGGAAUAAAAAACAGUCAGAAAAAGACUGAAAAGACAGCAGGGAGCUUGAGUUUGGUUUGACGGAAGAGAUUUGAGAUGAAUGCACUGAAGUGACUGAGCAAAAGGUCUCAUCCUUCUCUUCAGGCUGCAGGUGGCGGGCAUUUUGGAGAGAGAGAGAGAGAGAGAGAGGAAAGGGAAGAAGAAGAAGAAGGCAGGGAGGGGAAGAGGAGGACGAGGCGAGGAGGGGGAGGCGUGUGUUCAAAAUCCACAAAGGUUUUGUAAUAAAUGCAUCGGCGACAAUAAAAACA
Amphiprion ocellaris (clown anemonefish) is the source of this 315-nucleotide long non-coding RNA. The record is from Ensembl. Lineage: Eukaryota; Metazoa; Chordata; Actinopteri; Pomacentridae.